This 631-nucleotide ribosomal RNA is filed under the name uncultured Pseudomonadota bacterium. RNAcentral's name for it is "bacterial SSU rRNA". It matches the Rfam family "Bacterial small subunit ribosomal RNA", at positions 96 to 723 of the family's 1533-position model. Lineage: Bacteria; Pseudomonadati; Pseudomonadota. The record is from RNAcentral.
UGGCGGACGGGUGAGUAAUGUCUGGGAAACUGCCUGAUGGAGGGGGAUAACUACUGGAAACGGUAGCUAAUACCGCAUAACGUCGCAAGACCAAAGAGGGGGACCUUCGGGCCUCUUGCCAUCGGAUGUGCCCAGAUGGGAUUAGCUAGUAGGUGGGGUAACGGCUCACUUAGGCGACGAUCCAUAGCUGGUCUGAGAGGAUGACCAGCCACACUGGAACUGAGACACGGUCCAGACUCCUACGGGAGGCAGCAGUGGGGAAUAUUGCACAAUGGGCGCAAGCCUGAUGCAGCCAUGCCGCGUGUAUGAAGAAGGCCUUCGGGUUGUAAAGUACUUUCAGCGGGGAGGAAGGGAGUAAAGUUAAUACCUUUGCUCAUUGACGUUACCCGCAGAAGAAGCACCGGCUAACUCCGUGCCAGCAGCCGCGGUAAUACGGAGGGUGCAAGCGUUAAUCGGAAUUACUGGGCGUAAAGCGCACGCAGGCGGUUUGUUAAGUCAGAUGUGAAAUCCCCGGGCUCAACCUGGGAACUGCAUCUGAUACUGGCAAGCUUGAGUCUCGUAGAGGGGGGUAGAAUUCCAGGUGUAGCGGUGAAAUGCGUAGAGAUCUGGAGGAAUACCGGUGGCGAAGGCG